GGCGUGCUUAACACAUGCAAGUCGAACGGAAAGGCCCCUUUGGGGGUACUCGAGUGGCGAACGGGUGAGUAACACGUGAGUAACCUGCCCUUGACUUCGGGAUAACUUCAGGAAACUGGGGCUAAUACCGGAUAGGAAUCCUUGCUGCAUGGUGGGGGUUGGAAAGCUUCGGCGGUUUUGGAUGGACUCGCGGCUUAUCAGCUUGUUGGUGGGGUAGUGGCUUACCAAGGCUUUGACGGGUAGCCGGCCUGAGAGGGCGACCGGCCACAUUGGGACUGAGAUACGGCCCAGACUCCUACGGGAGGCAGCAGUGGGGAAUAUUGCACAAUGGGCGGAAGCCUGAUGCAGCAACGCCGCGUGCGGGAUGACGGCCUUCGGGUUGUAAACCGCUUUCAGCAGGGGCGAAGCUUGUGGUGACGGUACCUGCAGAAGAAGCACCGGCUAACUACGUGCCAGCAGCCGCGGUGAUACGUAGGGUGCGAGCGUUGUCCGGAUUUAUUGGGCGUAAAGAGCUCGUAGGUGGUUGAUUGCGUCGGAAGUGAAAACUUGGGGCUUAACCCUGAGCGUGCUUUCGAUACGGGUUGACUUGAGGAAGGUAGGGGAGAAUGGAAUUCCUGGUGGAGCGGUGGAAUGCGCAGAUAUCAGGAGGAACACCAGUGGCGAAGGCGGUUCUCUGGACCUUUCCUGACGCUGAGGAGCGAAAGCGUGGGGAGCGAACAGGCUUAGAUACCCUGGUAGUCCACGCUGUAAACGGUGGGUACUAGGUGUGGGGUCCAUUCCACGGAUUCCGUGCCGUAGCUAACGCAUUAAGUACCCCGCCUGGGGGAGUA
This 830-nucleotide ribosomal RNA is filed under the name Cutibacterium avidum. RNAcentral describes it as "bacterial SSU rRNA". It matches the Rfam family "Bacterial small subunit ribosomal RNA", at positions 41 to 882 of the family's 1533-position model. Lineage: Bacteria; Bacillati; Actinomycetota; Actinomycetes; Propionibacteriales; Propionibacteriaceae. The record is from RNAcentral.